GAUGAACGCUGGCGGCGUGCCUAAUACAUGCAAGUCGAGCGAACAGACGAGGAGCUUGCUCCUCUGACGUUAGCGGCGGACGGGUGAGUAACACGUGGAUAACCUACCUAUAAGACUGGGAUAACUUCGGGAAACCGGAGCUAAUACCGGAUAAUAUAUUGAACCGCAUGGUUCAAUAGUGAAAGACGGUUUUGCUGUCACUUAUAGAUGGAUCCGCGCCGCAUUAGCUAGUUGGUAAGGUAACUGCUUACCAAGGCAACGAUGCGUAGCCGACCUGAGAGGGUGAUCGGCCACACUGGAACUGAGACACGGUCCAGACUCCUACGGGAGGCAGCAGUAGGGAAUCUUCCGCAAUGGGCGAAAGCCUGACGGAGCAACGCCGCGUGAGUGAUGAAGGUCUUCGGAUCGUAAAACUCUGUUAUUAGGGAAGAACAAAUGUGUAAGUAACUAUGCACGUCUUGACGGUACCUAAUCAGUAAGCCACGGCUAACUACGUG
Molecule: ribosomal RNA, 497 nt
Filed under: uncultured bacterium
Lineage: Bacteria
Description: partial 16S ribosomal RNA
Rfam family: Bacterial small subunit ribosomal RNA
Source: RNAcentral